AUACGGAGGAUGCGAGCGUUAUCCGGAAUCAUUGGGUUUAAAGGGUGCGUAGGCGGCCUUUCAAGCCCGGGGUGAAAAUCUGGGGCCCAACCCCAGACCUGCCUCGGGAACUGGCUGGCUGGAGUACGCUUGCCGCGGGAGGAAUGAGUGGUGUAGCGGUGAAAUGCAUAGAUAUCACUCAGAACACCGAUUGCGAAGGCAUCCCGCGAAGGCGCGACUGACGCUGAGGCACGAAAGCGUGGGGAUCGAACAGGAUUAGAUACCCUGGUAUUCCACGCCGUAAACGAUGAUGACUAACCGUCGGCGAUAGACAGCCGGUGGCCAAGCGAAAGCGAUAAGUCAUCCACCUGGGGAGUACGUCGGCAACGAUGAAACUCAAAUGAAUUGGCGGGG
This 393-nucleotide ribosomal RNA is filed under the name uncultured bacterium. Its description in RNAcentral is "partial 16S ribosomal RNA". It matches the Rfam family "Bacterial small subunit ribosomal RNA", at positions 523 to 918 of the family's 1533-position model. The record is from RNAcentral.